RNA transcript from Vitis riparia (riverbank grape), 1915 nucleotides. RefSeq lists it as uncharacterized. NCBI's taxonomy places the organism in Eukaryota, Viridiplantae, Streptophyta, Magnoliopsida, Vitales, Vitaceae. The record is from RefSeq and is a predicted model, not a curated record. The transcript has 11 exons.
CACCUCACCUCUCUUAAAGCAUUGGAUAUCAGAAACUGUCGUAAGCUCAAAUACUUGACAAAAGAGAAGCUUCCAGACUCCCUCUCUUAUCUGAUUGUUAGGGAGUGUCCUUUACUGGAAAAACGGUGUCAAUUUGAGAAAGGGGAAGAAUGGUGUUAUAUAGCACACAUUCCAGAAAUAGUGAUCAACCAUGUGCUAUUUUAAUGGAAGUGGCACUCCACCAAUGUACAGUCAGGUGACUUUUCCAAGGAAGUGGAAUCUGAAGGAAGGAUAGAUUGUUCUGAUUUUGGGAGGGUUUUGCCUGUGGAGGAAGGGAGAGAUUCCUGGGUGCUGAACAGUUGAUGCACAUUGCUCUGUUCAAGAUGAAUGAGAAACUCAGAGUAUCAGUCUCAGCCAUGUCAAAAGCAAAAGGAAAAGUUGAAGCUGAAGAUAUCAUGUAAAAAAACAGAGGAAUUUCCAUUGAAGAAGACAACAUCAGAAAGUACACUACACCUGCAUAUAGAGCUGCUGAGGUUGAAUGGAAAACUAUGCUUUUUGAUAAGCACAGAGAAAAGAUUGAAGCAACAGGCUGGGAACUCCAGUAAAGAAAAUCCAAUUCCUCUGGCCCAGACUCUAAUCCAUGGCAGGCUUUCUCUGAGGUAGGUGCCCAGACAACAAUAGCGAGUCUGUUAGGUUUAGAAAUGGUCAUCACAACAAACCAGCCACAGAAGCAACUUCUGGCCCUGAAACUUGGGAUUUUGGAACAGAGAGUUUUUACAGCCACCCCUGCUGCCAGCUCUAACAUUUCCAGACCCCCCAUUGGAGGCAAUAAUGCCCAGCUGUUUGGUGACAAAGAAGAUUGAGGGCAAGCUGGCUACUCAACCUGCUGGAUGGGCCGGUUUCUAACUUAUUUGAAUAAAAGAAAACUCAACCCUCUUAUCUGUACUCUUCAAAGCUGGACUCUCAAAAUUUUCAUUCGUAAAUGUCCAAAGAGCUAUGAUUUUGAAGUCAUUAAAGUUGCCAAUCCCUGCCAACCUCAAUCGGAGCUUAAGGAGUGUGUUAGACUGUUACCAUUGAUUGCCUAAGUCCAAAGUGAAGGAAUUGGAGGAGGGGGAGAUUCCUGGGUGCUGAACUAUUGAUGUUCAUUGCUCUGUUCAAGAAGAGCAAGAAACUGUGAGUAGAAGGCUAGUCAAAAGCAAAGGAAAAGCUGAAGCUGAAGACAUCAUGCACAAAAACAGGAGAGUUUCCAUUGAAACUAGUCCAAAUUAUGAUUGACCCUGGCGUUGAGCUGAUGCUUCAUAAUGUGUUAUUAUAAGAGAUAUAGGCUGCCCGAGUUUUCUGAAUAUACUCCAUAGUCCCUCUGAUGCCUGCACAAGUCCUCAGGCGCCUCUGAAAAGGAAGCUUGAUAAAGAGCCAUUGUGCAUGAACUCAUACACCAGAAGUCGGUGUUCACCCUCAUGGCAGUAAAACCCAGCAAGCGUCCUGGAUUCUUAUGCAACAGAAUUUCCAGAACCUGAUGGUAAUAUCCCUUUAUAGACAGUGCCAAAGGCUUCUACCACCUCUUGUACUCAGGAUUCUGUGAUAAAGCUGCAGAUUUUUGAGGUUCAAGCAUUAGAAAACUAGAGAAAUUGCAGCGACAGAAACAAAGAAGAACAGAGAGGGGCCUAAGAGGACUGAGAGGAUUAGAAUUGCUUCAUUUUGCUUGCCUCUGCCUGAAGUUAGUUCACUGGACUUCAAUAUCAUGAUUAGAGCACUUCUGGCAACAGUAGUUUUAUCCAACCUCCCAUUUGAAAGAGGUAGUCUUUUCCUCCAACAGCUUCCAGUUCCAUAUGCAAACCUCAGGUCCUCAAAAAUAGCAACUGCACAGUAGGCUGCAACACCCGAUCCCUGGGUUGGCAAUAUGGUAUUAGUUGGGUGCUUGAAGCUCUCCCAUAUA